Molecule: RNA transcript, 1624 nt
Organism: Cornus florida
Lineage: Eukaryota; Viridiplantae; Streptophyta; Magnoliopsida; Cornales; Cornaceae
Gene name: putative casein kinase II subunit beta-4
Exons: 6
Source: RefSeq, a predicted model, not a curated record
AGAGGAGAGAGGAGAGAGGAGAGAGAAAAUAAUUAAAACUCAAUAAGAAGAAAACAAGAGAGAGGAGAGAGAGAGGCUCAGUGGAGCUAGCGGUUCCCUCUCUCCCUAUGUAGUCGAAACCCUAGUUUUUACCGUCUAUCUGCAUCUCUUUGAUCUAUGAAUUCUUCAUUUCCAUCUCUCCCCUAUCCAGUAUCGCUGAAAAUUUAGCGUUGUCACUGUUUCUAUUCAUAUGAUGUUCAUUGACAGGUUUUGAAAUCUCCAAUAAGAGCUCUUGUAAUCGAAUUUGAAGAGAGUGGUGUGUGUAUAUAUAGGAUAUGUAUAGAGAUCGAGGUGGUGGAUCGUCCAAGUCUGAGCUUGUCGGUGGACCGUUGGAUCGGAAGCGAAUCAACGAUGCGUUAGAUAAGCACCUGGAGAAGUCGUCGCCGUCGACGUCGAGGGGUUUGAACGGCAAGGACAAGGAAAGACUAUCUAUACCGUCUACUUCAGCCGCUGUUGGUGGUGGAAAAUCGCAGCAGCUCGAUCAUCGGUCAUCGUCGGCUCUUGCCGCCAAGGACAAAUGCUCAGAUGAGGAAUCUGAAACAGACAGUGAAGAGUCGGACGUGAGUGGUUCUGAUGGAGAUGACACUUCUUGGAUCUCAUGGUUUUGCAAUUUGCGAGGAAAUGAAUUUUUCUGUGAAGUUGAUGAUGAAUACAUCCAAGAUGAUUUUAAUCUUUGCGGGUUAAGCAGUCAAGUUCCAUAUUAUGAUUAUGCUCUCGAUCUAAUUUUGGAUGUCGAGUCCUCUCACAGUGAUAUGUUGACUGAAGAACAGAAUGAGUUGGUUGAAUCGGCGGCAGAGAUGUUGUAUGGUCUGAUUCAUGUCCGGUACAUAUUGACUAGCAAGGGUAUGGCGGCAAUGUUAGAGAAAUACAAAAACUACGACUUCGGGAGAUGCCCACGAGUUUACUGCUGCGGACAACCUUGCCUUCCCGUCGGUCAAUCCGACAUUCCCCGUUCAAGUACUGUAAAAAUUUACUGUCCGAAAUGCGAAGAUAUUUACUAUCCCCGAUCCAAGUACCAAGGCAGUAAUUCUGGAAACAAAUUAGUUGUGGUUAACUUCCCAGGUUAUAUUCUGGGAACUUAGAUAAAAAUUACCUUUUUAUGUGGUAUAGUCCUAAACAUCAUCAGCCUCUUACUUUCCAAAGGGAGGUCAGGGGUUCAAGUCUCAGAAGAGACGUGUGUGUGAGUACCAGCUAAGAAAAAAAACAGAAAAAAUUCAGGAAAUAUUCAUGAAUAUCUGAAGAAUUACAUAUUCAGAGAUUGAAGGACAUCUGUUGACUGUUCAAAGUUUGAAGGACAUCUGAAGGCUGUUAAGUUUUUCGGUUUGAAACAUCCCAUUCAACAUUGGGUUAUAUGGUGCCUCCUAGGCUUGCGCGUCAACUGUCUAGAUUAAUGAGCACGCUCUAUAGCUUGACGGGUUUUAUGGAAAGAUGACAACAUUGAAGGAGAUAUUGAUGGAGCUUAUUUUGGAACCACAUUUCCUCACCUGUUCUUGAUGACUUAUGGGCACGUCAAACCGCAGAAAGCAACACAGAAUUACAUUCCAAGAGUAUUUGGCUUCAAGAUCCACAAGCCGUGACACAGUUC